This 613-nucleotide ribosomal RNA is filed under the name uncultured bacterium. RNAcentral describes it as "bacterial SSU rRNA". It matches the Rfam family "Bacterial small subunit ribosomal RNA", at positions 67 to 677 of the family's 1533-position model. The record is from RNAcentral.
CGGUAACAUUUCUAGCUUGCUAGAAGAUGACGAGUGGCGGACGGGUGAGUAAUACUUAGGAAUAUGCCUUUGUGUGGGGGAUAACUAUUGGAAACGAUAGCUAAUACCGCAUAACGUCUUCGGACCAAAGGGGGCUUCGGCUCUCGCGCAAAGAGUGGCCUAAGUGAGAUUAGCUUGUUGGUGAGGUAAAGGCUCACCAAGGCGACGAUCUCUAGCUGUUCUGAGAGGAAGAUCAGCCACACUGGGACUGAGACACGGCCCAGACUCCUACGGGAGGCAGCAGUGGGGAAUAUUGCACAAUGGGGGCAACCCUGAUGCAGCCAUGCCGCGUGUGUGAAGAAGGCCUUCGGGUUGUAAAGCACUUUCAGUUGUGAGGAAAGGUUGAUGGUUAAUACCCAUCAGCUGUGACGUUAGCAACAGAAGAAGCACCGGCUAACUCCGUGCCAGCAGCCGCGGUAAUACGGAGGGUGCGAGCGUUAAUCGGAAUUACUGGGCGUAAAGCGCACGCAGGCGGUUAUAUAAGCUAGAUGUGAAAGCCCCGGGCUCAACCUGGGAAUAGCAUUUAGAACUGUAUGACUAGAGUCUUGGAGAGGGGAGUGGAAUUCCAGGUGUA